This 202-nucleotide long non-coding RNA is filed under the name Mytilus galloprovincialis (Mediterranean mussel). Lineage: Eukaryota; Metazoa; Mollusca; Bivalvia; Mytilida; Mytilidae. The record is from RNAcentral.
CUUGAGGGUUUGGAUAGGGUUAAAUGAUUAAAGAAUAAUGCCCUUAAAAAAUGAAGAUUAGAGAAUAACGGGCAAAAAAAAUGAAGAUUAGAGAAAAAAGGUGUUAAUUUUUUGAAGAUUAGAGAAAAAAGGUGUUAAUUUUUUGAAGAAUAGAGAAAAGGGGUGAAAAUUAAAUGUUUACAGACCCCCCCACCCCCCAUCC